UUUCCGUAGGUGAACCUGCGGAAGGAUCAUUUAUAAUAAAGUGUUUUAUGGCACUUUUUAAAAAUCCAUAUCCACCUUGUGUGCAAUGUUAGAUCUCGUCAAUCUUGGCGAGAUUUUUAUACAUCAACUCAUUCUUUAACUAAUUUGUCUGAAAAAUAUUAUGAAUACUUAAUUCAAAAUACAACUUUCAACAACGGAUCUCUUGGCUCUC
Molecule: unclassified non-coding RNA, 211 nt
Filed under: plant metagenome
Description: partial contains small subunit ribosomal RNA, internal transcribed spacer 1, and 5.8S ribosomal RNA
Source: RNAcentral